This 84-nucleotide small RNA is filed under the name Veronia pacifica. RNAcentral's name for it is "Enterovibrio sp. sw014 Pseudomonas sRNA P9". It matches the Rfam family "Pseudomonas sRNA P9". Rfam says of the family: P9 appears to be conserved in several Pseudomonas species in addition to Bordetella spp. The record is from Rfam by way of RNAcentral. Lineage: Bacteria; Pseudomonadati; Pseudomonadota; Gammaproteobacteria; Vibrionales; Vibrionaceae.
CGAAUUAUUAGCAUUAUUUCUCUAGAAAUGGUGGGAUAGUUUGCAUAACUAACAAAUUAGAAACCCGCCCAAGAGGCGGGUUUU